AUCAAUUCAUAGUGAAAAAAUGAAGUAUAGCUUGUGAAAAUGGCGCCAACGCAUGAAAUUCAAGUUCAAUCGAAAAUAUGCGCAUAAACAGCGCCAGAAUCGGAAAGUUUGAUUUCCCGCGUAAGUCAGGUUACAGCGCCCGCAUAAACCCGACGGCGAAAACUUGCAUUACAAACUCAGGUUUCGUGAAACCUCGGUUUCGAGCCUCGCAUAAACGUAGCUAUUAACUAGGUAUUUCAUUAUAAAUUAAAAUUUCCGAAAUUUUUCCUGAAAGGACGAUUCACAAGAAAAAAUAAAUUACCAUUUGAGCUCUCCACAAAUGAGAGAAGCAAUGAAUUUUUGGCUUUUGUUCGAUGACGUUUAUGCGAUUACAGAUACCAUCCUUUGAUGGCCUGGGCUUGUUUUGGUUCCAUGAGAUGAGUAGUCACAAACAUUCCAAAACCAACGACAGAUGAUAGACCAAGCAGGACUAGAAGGCUUGAGCGCCAAAUGAAUAUUCCAUCAUAAAUCUGAAAAAUAUCAGACAGUUAUUAACAAAAUUCAGUCAAAGCAUGCACAAACUGUUGAAAAAAUUCUCAAACUAUGGCAAGGUAGGGUACAGCCAAAAAAAAAAAAAAAAACAACCUUGAUACUACAGCUUAAUUUUUUAAAAUGGGCGGUUCAAUUGACUUUCACAGAAAAAAAAAAAUCAAGAAUAUCAGAAUAUCUACCGCAGCAUAUUUAAGUAAGAAUAGUAAAUUCAAAAAUCAAACAAAAAAUGAGCUUUUGAAAGUAAAAAAGCACCUUCGUUUUUCACCGGUCAAAUCGAAGAAUUCGGCCGGUUCGAGAACUGUGAUCAAUCUUCAGCCAGGGAAAGCACGUCAGGUAAGCACGUUGUACAUCCAUGAUCUUUAGAAAAUAGUGCACCUACGAGUACUUAGCUAAACUUUCUACAUCAGCAACUUUCUCUGCUUCAAGCACUCAUUUAGAAGACAGAGAUUGCGUCUUCUGAAGUUUCACGUGGCGGAGAAACUUCGGUACUUGGGCUGCUCCAUAAAUGCAACGCAGGCCAACUCACAAAGAGCCAUGGCACUUCGGAAUCUGGACUGCAACUCACCACCUAUGCUAGCGCUGGCGCUAGCGUCAGUAAACACUCAUCAAUCGGAAACGUAUAAACCGGAAAUUAUUUUUAAGUUUUAAGUUUCAAUUAAGUUUUAUAAUUUGUAUUAUUUAUUCUUGUUAUUUGAGAAGAAAAUUUUAAUGAAUAUUUGUAUAAUAUAGUAGUUGGUUCUUCAGAUAUAUCCUAAUUAGAAACAUAAAAAAAAAUUAACCUAACCUAACCGAACCACCCGAGGGAUGCCUUACGUAGCGUAACGUAACCUCACCUAACGCAACGUAACCUAACUAAUGGUCUGUUACGUUAGGUUACGUUGCGUUAGGUAAGGUUACGUUAGUUUACGUUACGCCACUCAGGCUUGUGGGGUAAGAUCCUCUAAUUCCCGUCAUCCUAAAAAGGAUAACGUCAUCCUUAAAAGGAUAACGUCAUCCUAAAAAGGAUAACGUCAUCCUAAAAAGGAUAACGUCAUCCUAAAAAGGUUAACGUCAUCCUAAAAAGGAUAACGUCAUCCUAAAAGGGAGAUAACGUAAUCGCAAAGACGAUAACGUAAUCGUAUGUUGAAGGUGGCAUAAGCGUGAAUUUGAAUUUGCCGCGAAAGAAAAAACGGAUGGGAACGGUUGUUAGCCUCGAAAGGAACGGAAUGAAUCAGCCCAAGUACCGAAGUGUCUCGGAGGAGGGGUCAACGGGUCUGCAGAGGAAGAGUGGAGUGGCUGCGAGGAGCAGCCCAUGUACCGAAGUACACCCCCACGUGGGGUGUCCCCUAAUGCUGUUUGGACUGUGAGCUCAGCUUGCUACCAUUGGGCCCAUUGCAAACUUUUGCUAGAGCAAAAUUAAGAGUUGAUGCUUAUAAAAAGUGUCUCAAAAAUCACAAUAAGCGCGUCGGCAAAGUCUGAAAUGCACUUCUUAUUUCACUAUCUGCGUAAGAAAUUUGCAUUUUUUUGAGCUUCCCGCUUUAAAAACAACAUCACGGCACAAGUGGACAUCUCGUUAGAGGAGUCAUUCCAUCCAGCCCCUGCCCUCAAGGAUACUACGCAAUAUUCAACAUAGCCAACGCCUAUCCGCCAAAACACAUAUGACGAGACGAUGAAACUAAUCACCUGAAAACAAUCAGCAAGUUUACAUUCACAUUUUUCUGGCGCUGUUAGAUAUCCGCCUUGAUUGACCUCUUGCUCUCCUUAGCUUGCACGCAGAAGCGUUGGCCAAGUUGAGCAGGGAUUAAAUGGAACGACUCCCCUAACCAAAUGUUCUUCUGUGCUGUAGUAUCCUUUUCGUAGCAGGAAUCUUAAGAAAACGCAAAUUUUCUAAUAGAUAGUGAAGUUAGGAGUGCAUUUCAGAGUUUGCCGAUGCGCUCAUCGCGAUUUUUGAGACAGUAUUUGUAAGGAACAAUUCUUAUUUUUGCUCUAGCAAAAGUUUGCAACAGGCUCAUUGAAUGAACUUUUGAAUCUGAGCAACCAGGGCUUCCUUGAGAGAAUAAUAGACUGAUUUAGUGACUACGUCAUUCAAUUUAAUAUCGAACUCUAUAUCAAAUUCUUGGUUCAAACCAAAACAAACUAACACAACCUCAUGUACGAAUUCCUCAUGAGUUAAUUAAGGUUGUCUUCACAUUGCCGUCCAGUGUCCCCAUAAGACGUCCGCGCUUCACUGUUUCCAACACAUCAAAGAGCGCACAUCACUAUUUCUUCCCACAAUCUGGUGUGUUUACUUAACUAUUUUCUUCGUUUAAAAAAGUGCGCUUAUAAUUUCCUUCGUAUAAAAGAGCGCUUAAUUUUUUUCUUCAGGGCCAGACUAGCCAGGGGUGCAGCACCCUAGGCCCUUGGCUUUUUUUUCCCUGCUACAUGACCUGUAACUUGGUGACUCAAAAUAAAGGUUUUUCAUGAUUACAUCCUUAAUCACAGAAAUGAUCAUUUGAGCUUUUGUGUGGUGGGAAGGGGGGGAGGCUACUAAGUGGGCCGUAAGAGUUCCUUCCUUCAAAGGCUCCAAAUUCAGAUAUUUUUAAUCUUUAAGUCUCUAAAAUUUGUCAUGACGUGCUCUCGAGGAAAUGUGGUUUCCACCUGAGAGGGUCCAGCUUUGAGAAGGUGAUUCUUUAACGUUGGAAAGACCUUAUAACAAAGUGUGGGGCUUUGAACUGCUGGGUCUCGAAAAUAUUUUUUUGCACUAUACAGGCCCCCCCCCCCCCACAAAGGCCCUGGGCCCCUUUAGAGUUGCAGAAAGCCCUUCAUCCUGAAACUGAAGAGGCCGAAAAUUGGAUUUUGUAGGAAGACUCCUGCUCGACAAAAACCCCUCUGUUAGAGGCUCAGUUACUUUUAUCCAUUGAAAGCAGCUGUCUUUCAAGAAUCGAGAAAAUAAUUGAUCGAAUUGCUUUAUCCUCCAACCUCUUUAAGAAGCUUCUGCUAUUUUAAUAUUCCACUCGAUCCUCAGGGAGUCCUUUUUACUUUCUCUUUUUUUACAUUUAACUGACUAGCUUUUUAUCAUUACUCUACGUAAGCUUCUUAAACUCAA
RNAcentral lists this long non-coding RNA (3595 nucleotides) under Bemisia tabaci. RNAcentral's name for it is "lncRNA ENSASIAIIG001302". Lineage: Eukaryota; Metazoa; Arthropoda; Insecta; Hemiptera; Aleyrodidae. The record is from RNAcentral.